RNAcentral lists this transfer RNA (64 nucleotides) under Picromerus griseus. RNAcentral describes it as "tRNA-Cys". The record is from RNAcentral. Lineage: Eukaryota; Metazoa; Arthropoda; Insecta; Hemiptera; Pentatomidae.
AGCUUUAUAGUCAAUAUAAUGAUAUUAGACUGCAAUUCUAAAGUAGAUUAUCAAUCUAAAGCUU